UCGCGAGCUGAUGCAGCGACGCCGCGUGAGGGAUGACGGCCUUCGGGUUGUAAACCUCUUUCAGCAGGGAAGAAGCGAAAGUGACGGUACCUGCAGAAGAAGCGCCGGCUAACUACGUGCCAGCAGCCGCGGUAAUACGUAGGGCGCGAGCGUUGUCCGGAAUUAUUGGGCGUAAAGAGCUCGUAGGCGGCUUGUCGCGUCGGUUGUGAAAGCCCGGGGCUUAACCCCGGGUCUGCAGUCGAUACGGGCAGGCUAGAGUUCGGUAGGGGAGAUCGGAAUUCCUGGUGUAGCGGUGAAAUGCGCAGAUAUCAGGAGGAACACCGGUGGCGAAGGCGGAUCUCUGGGCCGAUACUGACGCUGAGGAGCGAAAGCGUGGGGAGCGAACAGGAUUAGAUACC
This 398-nucleotide ribosomal RNA is filed under the name Streptomyces asenjonii. RNAcentral describes it as "bacterial SSU rRNA". It matches the Rfam family "Bacterial small subunit ribosomal RNA", at positions 375 to 786 of the family's 1533-position model. Lineage: Bacteria; Bacillati; Actinomycetota; Actinomycetes; Kitasatosporales; Streptomycetaceae. The record is from RNAcentral.